GACGAACGCUGGCGGCGUGCCUAACACAUGCAAGUCGAGCGAUGAAAUUAGAAACGGAGUCUUCGGACGAAGUGGAAAAUGGAUUAGCGGCGGACGGGUGAGUAACACGUGAGCAACCUGCCUAUCACAUCGGGAUAGCCUCGGGAAACUGGGAUUAAUACCGAAUGAAACAUAAUCACUGCCUAGUGGAAAUGUCAAAGAUUUAUCGGUGAUAGAUGGGCUCGCGUCUGAUUAGCUAGUUGGUGAGGUAAUGGCUCACCAAGGCGACGAUCAGUAGCCGGCCUGAGAGGGUGAACGGCCACAUUGGGACUGAGACACGGCCCAGACUCCUACAGGAGGCAGCAGUGGGGAAUAUUGCACAAUGGAGGGAACUCUGAUGCAGCGACGCUGCGUGAGCGAUGAAGGCUUUCGAGUCGUAAAGCUCUGUCGAAUGGGAAGAUAAUGACGGUACCAUUUGAGAAAGCCCCGGCUAACUACGUGCCAGCAGCCGCAGUAA
RNAcentral lists this ribosomal RNA (496 nucleotides) under uncultured bacterium. RNAcentral's name for it is "partial 16S ribosomal RNA". It matches the Rfam family "Bacterial small subunit ribosomal RNA", at positions 28 to 523 of the family's 1533-position model. The record is from RNAcentral.